Molecule: transfer RNA, 69 nt
Filed under: Sphaerodactylus townsendi
Lineage: Eukaryota; Metazoa; Chordata; Lepidosauria; Squamata; Sphaerodactylidae
Description: tRNA-Thr
Source: RNAcentral
GCCGUGGCUCAGAGGUAAAGUUUCUGCCUUGUGUGCACAAGGUCCCAGGUUCAAUUCCUAGUAUCUUCA